GCUCUCGUAGCUCAAUUGGUUAGAGCACCCGUUUACUAAGCGAAGAUCUUGAUUUCGACUCUCAAUGAGAGCU
Molecule: non-coding RNA, 73 nt
Organism: Nicotiana sylvestris (wood tobacco)
Lineage: Eukaryota; Viridiplantae; Streptophyta; Magnoliopsida; Solanales; Solanaceae
Source: Rfam